UUCCUUUGUCUUCUUGUCACAAAAAGAAUUUCGUCAGUCUGGAAGGGGAGUUUUACUUACGUAAAUGGAUGUAGACCAGACUCAAGCAUGUAAGAACUGUGUUAAUGUGGAUUUCUAAGCCUCUGAAUGAAUUUCUAAGGCACCUAACCUAUUGUUUCUGAAAAUAUUUACUUUAAGGUUACAAUCUUAAUCUAAAAGUGGUUCCUGCUUCAUAAUGCCUGUGGACAUGAAGCUAACAAAUCUUUUCAAAAUGUGUUCAUGUGGUAAUUCACUGCAGCACAGGAGCAAUAAUCAGCUAUGUGCAGGCAUCUAUGCUACUGUCUCUUAAAAUACUUUAAAAGUAAGGUUAGUUAUUGUCUAUUCGAGUCAGUUAGCUCUUACAAUUCAUUUGAUAGUGAUUAUCAGUACAAUAUAUUAGUUUGUUGGAGUGUGAGAAUAAUGGUGUUAAUCCUUAGAAAAAUGCAAGACCAAAGGGAAAUUUAAAUUUUGCAUAUUUAUGUUUAAUGUCAAAUUUAUAUUCAAAUAAACGGUUAUGAUUAUAACUCUUUGUAAAAGAAACUCCAUUUUAAGCCCCCCAGAUUAUGAUCACUUUCAAAUACAGGCUCAGAAGUACAGAUUUAGAGAAAAAGGAUUCCUCUUAGAGGAAUACAUCAUAUAUACUGAGACUUCUAGCGAGGGAAGGAGUGUAGUUCUGGUUCAACUAAGAUAAAGUACUGAUGAAAGGUCACUGGCAGACAAUACGGAGAAACAGCCUGCCUUGCAGGAUUUUUUGUAUGCCUAGUCAGCCUACCCAAGGACAAUGUGUCCAGAAUGACCUCUUUACUGCCUGCCAGCUAAUCAGUUAUCCCAUAAGAAAUAUGCAAACAAGAUUCACACAGCAGAGAGCAAUUAUUUUUCUCUCCCUCUUUCCUCUUUGUCUUAAUAAACGCUCUUUUUUUAUUUGUGGGGUGAAAUCAAUCUAUUGAGGUAUCGUCUUUGUAAACACAUAAACAGCGUGCUAUAAUUGACUUUGUGACUUUGAAUUAUUGACACUGCUCUGUUUCUUUUCCAAAGAACCUUUGCACUGUUGAAAGAGUAACUUUUCCAUUAUAACCUGAGUCAAGAUGAAGAGAAGCAGGGAAUACUGAAUGAAAGUUACUUUUCCAUGCAGCAGGAAAAAACAAGUUUGCUACUAUACAAAUUUAUAGAAAAGUAUAAAAUUACAUGUGAACUUCUUUUUCUUUUUGUGUGUGCCAAAGUUUUUUAAAGAUUUAUAUCUCUACUACUCAAAGCAUUCCCAUCUCUAGCCUGUAUUAGUUCUGUCACCUGAAUCAUUUUUCACUCAUAACCACCUGGCCAUUCUUUAACACUCAGUUCAUGUAGAUUGUACUAGGCAGUUUAAAUACAUUAGAUUUUAUAAACAAAGACCCAGUGAGCACAGAGCAGUUAACAUGCCCAUGGUCACAUAUGUAUUAAUUGGCAGAUUGCCUCCUCCCACCUUAUUACUUUACCUCCUUCCUUAAUUACUUGCCAUUUUGACAGUCUUCUGAUUUCUGUAUAGCCCUUAUGACUUUUACUAUCCAACUUAGUACAGUUACGUUUCACUGAAUGACAGGGAUUUUGUCAUUAUGGAAACAUCAUACAGUACAUCUAUCAAACCUAGCUGCAAUAGCCUACUAUACACCUAAGCUAAAUAGUAUAUCAUAUUGCUCCUAGGCUACAAACCUGAACAGCAUGUUGCUGUACUGAAUACUGUAGGCACUUGUAACAUAAUGGUAAGCAUUUUUGUAUCUAAACAUAAGAAUGAUACAGUAAAAAUAGAGUAUUACAAUUGUAUGGUCCCACACUUGUAUAUGCAGUUCAUCUUUGACCAAAAUGUUAUGCAGCAAAUGACCGUACUUAUUUAUCCUCUACUUUUUAACUUUAUUGGUUGUUUCAUUAAGGUCAGUUUUAUCCCAGCUAGAUAAUGACUGCAUAGCAGCUUCUGUAGCAUCUACGACAGUAUAGUCCAGUUACUAUCUCAUAGAAUGUUUUAAUGAAUCUUGAUUAUUUAAGUGAAAAUUUAAAUUUAAAUAAAAAUUUUAAAAAAUUUUACCAAAAUG
Molecule: long non-coding RNA, 2081 nt
Filed under: Homo sapiens (human)
Lineage: Eukaryota; Metazoa; Chordata; Mammalia; Primates; Hominidae
Description: non-protein coding lnc-NT5DC1-1:1
Source: RNAcentral